CGAGUCCGAGUCUCCACGGAGACGAAGUGGCGGUCAUCCAGCUUCCUAGAAAAGCUCUAACCACGUUAAUCUUUAGUUGCCUGUACCCGAAGCCGACACAGGUAGGGGGGUAGAGAAUACCAAGGGGCGCGAGAUAACUCUCUCUAAGGAACUCGGCAAAAUGACCCCGUAACUUCGGGAGAAGGGGUACCACUGAGAAGUGGUCGCAGUGAAGAGGCCCAGGCGACUGUUUACCAAAAACACAGGUCUCCGCCAAGUCGCAAGACGAAGUAUGGGGGCUGACGCCUGCCCAGUGCCGGAAGGUUAAGGAAGUGGGUUAGGGAUUCGUCCCGAAGCUGACGACUGAAGCCCCGGUGAACGGCGGCCGUAACUAUAACGGUCCUAAGGUAGCGAAAUUCCUUGUCGGGUAAGUUCCGACCCGCACGAAAGGCGUAACGAUCUGGGCGCUGUCUCGGAGAGAGGCUCGGCGAAAUAGGAUUGUCUGUGAAGAUACGGACUACCUGCACCUGGACAGAAAGACCCUAUGAAGCUUUACUGUAGCUUGGAAUUGGGUUCGGGCUUGGUUUGCGCAGGAUAGGUGGGAGGCGAAGAAGAUUUGCUUGUGGGUGAAUCUGAGCCAACGGUGAGAUACCACUCUAACCAGGCUAGAAUUCUAACUUCAACCCGUCAACCGGGGGAAGGACAGUUUCAGGUGGGCAGUUUGACUGGGGCGGUCGCCUCCUAGAAGAUAACGGAGGCGCGCAAAGGUUCCCUCAGGCUGGUUGGAAAUCAGCCAACGAGUGCAAAGGCAGAAGGGAGCUUGACUGCGAGACCUACAAGUCAAGCAGGGUGGAAACACGGUCUUAGUGAUCCGACGGCACCGAGUGGAAGGGCCGUCGCUCAACGGAUAAAAGUUACUCUAGGAUAACAGGCUGAUCUCCCCCAAGAGUUCACAUCGACGGGGAGGUUUGGCACCUCGAUGUCGGCUCAUCGCAACCUGGGGCGGAAGUACGUCCCAAGGGUUGGGCUGUUCGCCCAUUAAAGCGGUACGUGAGCUGGGUUCAGAACGUCGUGAGACAGUUCGGUCCAUAUCCGGUGUAGGCGCAAGAACAUUGAGAGGAGUCUUCCUUAGUACGAGAGGACCGGGAAGAACGCACCGCUGGUGUACCUGUUAUCGUGCCAACGGUAAACGCAGGGUAGCCAAGUGCGGAGUGGAUAACCGCUGAAAGCAUCUAAGUGGGAAGCCCACCUCAAGAUGAGUGUUCUCAUGGAGUAAUCCAGUAAGGUCACGGGAAGACGACCCGUUGAUAGGCGGUAGGUGGAAGUUCAGCAAUGGAUGAAGCCGAGCCGUACUAACAGACC
RNAcentral lists this ribosomal RNA (1341 nucleotides) under metagenome. Its description in RNAcentral is "bacterial LSU rRNA". It matches the Rfam family "Bacterial large subunit ribosomal RNA", at positions 1564 to 2910 of the family's 2925-position model. The record is from RNAcentral.